RNAcentral lists this ribosomal RNA (301 nucleotides) under uncultured bacterium. RNAcentral describes it as "partial 16S ribosomal RNA". It matches the Rfam family "Bacterial small subunit ribosomal RNA", at positions 509 to 807 of the family's 1533-position model. The record is from RNAcentral.
CAGCCGCCGCGGUAACACGGAGGGUGCAAGCGUUAUCCGGAUUUAUUGGGUUUAAAUGGUCCGUAGGCGGAUCUGUAAGUCAGUGGUGAAAUCUCACAGCUUAACUGUGAAACUGCCAUUGAUACUGCAGGUCUUGAGUAAAUUUGAAGUGGCUGGAAUAAGUAGUGUAGCGGUGAAAUGCAUAGAUAUUACUUAGAACACCAAUUGCGAAGGCAGGUCACUAAGAUUUAACUGACGCUGAUGGACGAAAGCGUGGGGAGCGAACAGGAUUAGAUACCCGUGUAGUCCCUGUCUCUUAUAC